UUGCACAGGUGUAGGUGUUGAGCUCAGAAGAUGUAGAAAGUUACGCUGAAUGGUUGCAUUACUAAUGUAGGGAUUAGCAAGGCUGCCUUGUGAUUGUAGGGAUGUACUCUGAGCUUGUGUAGGUGGUGGCAUGCCUACUUUGUGUGACUUGUUUCACAACCUUAGCAAACUUGCUGAGAAGGGAUGUGUGGGAGAUUCAGAUUAGAAGAUCAGAUGCUUUUCUGGAUGACUAAGGAACAGACCAGAGGAAACUUCCUUUUGAGGGAGUGGUUUUGAUUCUGAAACAGCAAAAAUCCUGUGGGAUGCCAAGAUGUGAUGGUCCUCUUUGGCUCUCAGAGCAGCUGUGCCUUGCGCCUGACACAGAGACCUUCAUCCUCUGCUUUCAAAGGUCAGUUGUGCCAUUGGGUUGUACUGUGAUGGUGGGAACCUGCUCUAAGGACAUAAGACUCACUUAAGAGGCUAUGCACUUUUGCGAGGCGUCCACGUUUCUCCCAUCUCUGUCAUCCCACACAGUAUUCCAGUACAGCCUCACCUGUGUGUGCCGUCUGGUUUGAAUGACAUUCCCAGGGCUACCCAAGAGCUGAAACACAACUCUCAGGUGGGA
Pezoporus occidentalis (night parrot) is the source of this 604-nucleotide long non-coding RNA. RefSeq lists it as uncharacterized. Lineage: Eukaryota; Metazoa; Chordata; Aves; Psittaciformes; Psittacidae. The record is from RefSeq and is a predicted model, not a curated record. The transcript has 3 exons.